RNAcentral lists this long non-coding RNA (267 nucleotides) under Elaeis guineensis (African oil palm). RNAcentral describes it as "long non-coding RNA (EGUI_LNC030382)". The record is from RNAcentral. Lineage: Eukaryota; Viridiplantae; Streptophyta; Magnoliopsida; Arecales; Arecaceae.
ACCAUGAAAAUUUGAUAGAAUAUAUUUGUUGGAUCUUUGUGAUCAUAGCUCAUUUAGCAAAUGUUUCACAAAACAAUGCAUAAUUUAAAAUGCUUGCGCAGCAAAUAAAACCCAAAUUUAUUGCAAGACUUGAUCGAGUUGCAAGUUGGCUCGCAGAGAGAAUUGAUAAUUAGCAUGUAAUUUGCGACUGAAUAAGAUAUGUUCCGAAUUGAACAAGUUUACUUGACCAUCGGAGCUUCAUGUGAUCACAAAUUUCUUCAGACAUGC